Molecule: ribosomal RNA, 427 nt
Filed under: uncultured bacterium
Lineage: Bacteria
Description: bacterial SSU rRNA
Rfam family: Bacterial small subunit ribosomal RNA
Source: RNAcentral
UGGGGAAUUUUGGACAAUGGGCGCAAGCCUGAUCCAGCCAUGCCGCGUGAGUGAAGAAGGCCUUCGGGUUGUAAAGCUCUUUCAGACGGAAAGAAAUCUCUCAGGAUACUACCUUGGGAGGAUGACGGUACCGUAAGAAGAAGCACCGUCUAACUACGUGCCAGCAGCCGCGUUAAUACGUAGGGUGCAAGCGUCAAUCGGAAUUACUGGGCGUAAAGCGUGCGCAGGCGGUUAUGCAAGACAGAGGUGAAAUCCCCGGGCUCAACCUGGGAACUGCCUUUGUGACUGCAUAGCUAGAGUACGGUAGAGGGAGGGGGAAUUCCGCGUGUAGCAGUGAAAUGCGUAGAUAUGCGGAGGAACACCGAUGGCGAAGGCAGCCUCCUGGGCCAGUACUGACGCUCAUGCACGAAAGCGUGGGGAGCAAACA